Molecule: long non-coding RNA, 702 nt
Organism: Lycium barbarum (goji berry)
Lineage: Eukaryota; Viridiplantae; Streptophyta; Magnoliopsida; Solanales; Solanaceae
Exons: 3
Source: RefSeq, a predicted model, not a curated record
CCGCUUCGCGGACCGAUCGCGCAACUCUGAGUUUUUAGCUGCAGAAUGUUGCGCGAUGCACCCGCAUCGCGGAACCAUCGCGAAACAGGUCAAUUUCGGGUCAAAAGUCGGGUUUACGCGUUUUCUUGUUAUAUUUGGGGUUGGGGUUUAUUUCUCCAACACCCCAUCCACGAAAAAUCUCUCUAAACUCAGAGACAACAAAUCCCAAACCUCAAUAACCUUCCAAGGUAAGUUUUAUCAUGAUUCUAGGUUGAAUCCAAGUCCCCAAAACCCUUCAAAUCCAUAGGGUUAUGAUUGGAAUAUUAUUGUUGGAUGUGGAAACCCUAGAACCCGAAUUCAAGAGGAUUGGACUUCAAAAAGAUUAAAGUUGAAGGGAUUGAAGGACAUUGUGAUACGCUCAAAAGCAGGAAGUUAAGGUACUGAUAUACAGGACGACACAUCUGCUCAGUAGGACAGCAUUCGUAUCAGCUUAUUGGUAAGCCCCAUCUCAUUCGGGGUUUAGUCAACUUUUGUUUUAUGAUUAGUUAUGCAUCUAAAGGUAUGCUGGGGGCCUUGUCCCAGUAAGUAUGUUUUCCAGUCAGACUCAUGAUAGAGGUUUCAUAGACUAGACAAGUCAGUUAUGUCAUGUCAAACAUUUGGAGUCGUAUAGCCAUUUUGGCUCACUCAUGUUUAAACCAACAUUUUAUUAAGUAUUAUGACUUA